AAUUCAAAAAGAUAAAUGUCCCUAUGUUCACUGCCGCAUUAUUACAAUUGCCAAGAUAUGGAAGCAACACAAGUCUCCAUCAACAGAUGAGUGAACAAAACAACUUUGGGACAUUUACACAAAUGGAAUACUACUCAGCCAUAAAAA
Molecule: long non-coding RNA, 147 nt
Organism: Phyllostomus discolor (pale spear-nosed bat)
Lineage: Eukaryota; Metazoa; Chordata; Mammalia; Chiroptera; Phyllostomidae
Exons: 3
Source: RefSeq, a predicted model, not a curated record